RNAcentral lists this ribosomal RNA (480 nucleotides) under Salmonella enterica. RNAcentral's name for it is "bacterial SSU rRNA". It matches the Rfam family "Bacterial small subunit ribosomal RNA", at positions 1 to 477 of the family's 1533-position model. Lineage: Bacteria; Pseudomonadati; Pseudomonadota; Gammaproteobacteria; Enterobacterales; Enterobacteriaceae. The record is from RNAcentral.
AAAUUGAAGAGUUUGAUCAUGGCUCAGAUUGAACGCUGGCGGCAGGCCUAACACAUGCAAGUCGAACGGUAACAGGAAGCAGCUUGCUGCUUCGCUGACGAGUGGCGGACGGGUGAGUAAUGUCUGGGAAACUGCCUGAUGGAGGGGGAUAACUACUGGAAACGGUGGCUAAUACCGCAUAACGUCGCAAGACCAAAGAGGGGGACCUUCGGGCCUCUUGCCAUCAGAUGUGCCCAGAUGGGAUUAGCUAGUUGGUGAGGUAACGGCUCACCAAGGCGACGAUCCCUAGCUGGUCUGAGAGGAUGACCAGCCACACUGGAACUGAGACACGGUCCAGACUCCUACGGGAGGCAGCAGUGGGGAAUAUUGCACAAUGGGCGCAAGCCUGAUGCAGCCAUGCCGCGUGUAUGAAGAAGGCCUUCGGGUUGUAAAGUACUUUCAGCGGGGAGGAAGGUGUUGUGGUUAAUAACCGCAGCAAUU